Aegilops tauschii subsp. strangulata is the source of this 4227-nucleotide long non-coding RNA. RefSeq lists it as uncharacterized. The record is from RefSeq and is a predicted model, not a curated record. NCBI's taxonomy places the organism in Eukaryota, Viridiplantae, Streptophyta, Magnoliopsida, Poales, Poaceae.
AACAUGCAGAUGAAAUGCAGAUGAUGACAUGGCAAAAUGCAACACGCAAGCAAACGACAUGGCAACGACGACGAAUAACUGGAUGACACCUGGCGCAUAGAAUCCGGGGCGUUACAUUAGCCCCCUCAGAAUGUGUUGUAGUUUCCUUUCGCCCCUCCAUGGACAAGGAUUGGGUAAUGUUGGACUAUUAUAUAUACACAGAUUAUGACACACACAGCGAAAACAUAUAUCACAUCUAGUAAAGUAAAUAUAAUAUAAUUUGUCUUCAGGCGAUAUUGAUCCCGGUAGUCAAUAUCAAAACACAGGGCAUGGGUAUGUGUUUUUUCCCGUUGCAACGCACGGGCAGUUUUCGUAGUAAAAUAAAAAAGAAAGGAAAACCAGUCAUGGAGGAUUAACAAAAAAGGAAGAAACCAGAAAGAACCGUGAAGAAAAAAAAUACGUUUCCUAGGUAUUUGGGCCGGGGCCCAUAUGCGGUCUGUUCGGCUAGUAGGAAAACCCUAUUUGCCGCUCGAGCAGAGCAAGGGAUUCGUCAGGCGGCGGCGGCUCGCGAGUACGAGCUCGACGGCGGCUGAGCAUCGUCGGGUUCGGGAGUUGGAGACUCGCAAGUACGAGUACCCACGUGGGUCUGUAGAUCGAGAGAGCAGUCAGGCGGCGGCGACUCGCGAGUACGAGCUCGACGGCGGCUGAGCAUCGUCGGGUUCGGGAGUUGGAGAGGAUGAGGGGGAGGCGCGGCGGCGCGGCGGGCGCCUGGGGUCUCGGCAUCCGACCUCAGGUCCAAGCUGCCGACGGAGGCUGUUGCGCCGCGAGCACGCUGAGCCUGAGGUAGCUGGACGACGGCCAGAGCGAUGCACGAGGAGGCGAGCCCGAGGGCGUCUUCGUCCAGAUCUCCUCACGCCGGUGCGCAUGGCGCCUCCUGCCGCUGGUUCCGCCUGCCGGUCGCGACGCGGUAAACGAACAGAGCAUGUGCUCGCGGCGGAGGAUGCUCUCUCGCUCCCGCGGAACGCUCGCCUCGCCCGCCACCACGGACAAGGCAACAAAAUGGAGCAUAUUCCAGAAGGAUUUAUUUUGCACAUAAAAGUGAUGGCUUGGGCCUUCGGCACCAUGGUGGCAUCAGUUUGCACGUUGUCGCUCCACUUGUAUUGCUGGUUGCAAAGAAAGGUGCGAACAGUCCAUUAGGAGGUGAAACUUAAGCACUAUAUUGUGAAAAUUUCCCUAGCGUUGUGCGAGCUGCUGCUGCUGCAUUUAAAUCGGUUUGUCCAAAUCAACAGUCCGAGGCUCCAACCGAUGCAGUCGCGACCCCACCUCUAUAUCAGCUCACCACCCAACCAGUUACACUCAGUUAUGUCACAGUUUUGAUUCAUUCUACAGAAUUAUUGGAACUCUGGAAUGACUAAAUCCCAAUUCUGCUUCAAAGGGUUGGGUACUCUCCGAUAUGCAUAGAGAUCAGGUUCUUCAAGGGCAUCAUCAUAUUCUUCACCUUCUAAAGAUUCAUCUUCCUCCUUGUUGCCGCCAUCGUCAUUUUCCUCCUCUUUAGGCGGUGCGGCGGUCUUCCCCUUGGUAGGAGCGCGGCGAGCCGCAGUCACCUUCACUAGCUCCAGCUCGAGCAGUGCUGCCAUCGCUGGGCUCAGAGCUUGCCCAAGCAGCAAAGGUAUGGAUAGGAAGGCGGCGAAAGCCGCGAACUACUGCAAACAUCAACAAGUCAAGGCAAAAUGAAGAAGAGAAGAAAAGCCACUAUGAAUCUUAUGGCCACACGGCCCCGGGCUCGAGAACACUUACGUCACUUGAGGGUUGGCAGCGCUAAAAGGCUCCAUUGCGACAGUGAGCGGAAUUUUGUUUGACCCUAGAUCUUUUAGGGUGUCGAUGCGGGCUCGCAGCUCGUCGUUGCCGAGCUCUUGUGCCGUUGCCUGAGUCGGAUUUUAAGUCCCCAUGUAAAGAUACAUGGGGUGAGUCCGAGUGGCUGGACUCGUCGCUCGAGAUACGUCUUCAAGACUUGCUCCCCGGUCAGCCCGCGGUCGAUCAGGCUCUCCCCCCGUUGAUCAGCCCUCGGGCAUUGUUGGAUGUCUUCUUCAUCGGCUUCCAAGAUCUCUCAGAUGCUUGGGUGGCUCAUUGAUGAAAGGCAACAGAUCUCCCGCGAGCCCCGAAGCAUAGAACCCUUAUGCCAGUUGUAGACUGACUUUGCCAAAGCAAUCUUGAAGUAGUUCGAUUCAAGCUGGAGCUGGAGGUUUGGCGCCUUCACCAGGUCGCGGAUAUCAUCGCCAUUCUUCUAGACCUUCACCAGGAAGUAGUAUCAAAAUAACUCGAAGUUUGGGUUCGUCGCGAGGAAGCAUUCGCAAAGGGUGAUGAAGUUGGCGAUCGGAGAAUGGUGUUGGGUGUCAAAUGAUGCAAUUGACACCCGUAGGAGAACAGAAGCCCGCACACAAAGCUGUGCAGCGGGAAAGCCAAACCUCGACAAAAGAACUGCUAGUGCAACACUCGCUUGUGCCGACCGGUGCCAGGAUGGCCUCGGCCCCCGCCGUCCUCCAUUGAAGUACCUCCCAAGGCAGCAGAAAGUCGUCUUGAACCAACACAGUGGAGAAGAACCACUUGUCUGUGGUCUCGCCCGCCUCCUCGUUGGCGGAAGCGUUGUCCUUCCACUCGUCAGCGGUGGUGGCCUUCGGAACGCUCCGGCCACGACCUCGACCGCGGUCUCCCUCGACUCGCACCAUCAACGGCUCGCUUGGGUGGAGAAGGAAAGAAAGGGAGGGCUCGAGGAGCAAGAGCUUGUGACAAUGGCGGUUCCGACGGGGGAGGGAGAAGCAGUAGCGGAAUCUACGAGAUGAACAGAGGAAGUGGGGAAAUGUCUCUCUCCCCCCUCUUUAUAUCCCACCGGGAAACCCAAGCAACGGCUUUGGUAGGUCGACAAGUGCCCCAUUUCCUUUGCGGUUUUCCACUACGCAGGAUGUGGGGGCGGAGAUCCAGGCAUUAUCAUCAUGAUACAACAGUCAAAGCGGAACCGACUGGCCAUCUCCCUAUCUUUACGACAGUGAUGACGGGAUGUGACAAAGCGAGUGGCAGCGACGCCUAGGUUCCUAUGGCUAGCAAUAAAUGAUUUGAAGAAGACUGGACACUGGAGGCCGCGCAGCCAUGAAGCUAUGAAGACGCGACGCCGGAGGCCGUGCAACCGUGAAGCCGCAACAUUGCAAAGACGCAUACCGUGAAGCCAUGAAGGUGAAAGAUGCAAAACCGCUAGAUCGCGGCACCACAAAAUCAGGAGCUACGAAGCCAUAGAGAUGCGUCGCAGGAGGCCGCGUGAUAUGUAGAUUUUGAGGUCGGGCUACCGGGAGAUAGACUGUCUCCAUCACUAAGAAAGAGCCUGCCUGGAUUUCGUUCUCAAGGCAGCAAGACUCCACAACUCCAGACAAGCUCGGGCGCUACCGACGGUACAAUAUACCGAGGGUGUCCCGUCCGCUGGGAAGCUCGAGACUUGGCUGGCUUCAGGGCCCAAGAGGCCUAGCGGCAGCCUUACCCAGCGAUCGGUCCAGGGGUCCAGGCUUGCAGAUAAAACUUAUCCUUGGCGUGCAAGCCAAGAAGCUCUCACGGUGAGGUCGGUUAGGAUCCCUAGCAACCCUAGCUCUCGUCCCCUUUAUAAGGCGAGGCUAGGGAUUGUUCGAGGCAUCUGUUCCAUUGCCCAGACCUCGGUAGCAUUCAUUAUCCUCCACUUGUAACUCCCUCGCACGAGGUGCUCCCACAUCAAUCCAAAACAAAGCAGGAGUAGGGUAUUACCUCGAUCAUGAGGCCCCAAACCUGGGUAAAAACCGCGUGUGAACUCCCUUUACUUCUGACUACGGUCUCCACCCUAACGGGGGCACCGACGGUUUUCUGCACCAUCACUGGUACUCUGGUAGUGAGUUGGAAUAUGUUUAAAUCGUUUGGUUAGCAAUCUAUCUCUCAAGGUUCGGUCCAUUAUAUGUACCCUUGAUCCCCGUGUUGGUCUUCUGCGCCUGUCGGUUGCACGAUAUAUUUAGGAAGUUAGAGUUAUGGAUACAAACCUUGGAAUGCUUAGUAGAACUAAAACCGAGUACAUAAUGUGCGGUUUUAGUACUACUAGGUGUGAGGAGGAGGAGGUUAGCCUUGAUGGGCAGGUGGUGCCUCAGAAGGACUUUCGAUAUUUGGGGUCAAUGCUGCAGGAGGAUGGGGGUAUUGAUGAAGAUGUGAACCAUCGAAUCAAAGCCGGAUGGAUGAAGUGGC